Molecule: long non-coding RNA, 370 nt
Filed under: Homo sapiens (human)
Lineage: Eukaryota; Metazoa; Chordata; Mammalia; Primates; Hominidae
Description: non-protein coding lnc-MYOZ2-3:1
Source: RNAcentral
AGGCAAAGAUGUCUGCUUCCUUAGCAACAGGAAGCUGCAGCUCACCCAGGCCACACUCACCCUGACACCGUCAGCAGUAAACAAUACAAAACAACUACUUACAGAUAAGCCUGAACAUGAAGGUGUGAAAGUUGGUGUCCUAACCCUGGCUUUUCUUAUACUUUUUAUAAUACAUGAAGCCAAAAGGACAUGCUGAUGAAGUUGUUCAAGAUGGAAUCAGUGUGUUGGAGGAAAAGAAAGCACAAACUAACACUCUUAGGGACAGAAGUGGACUAUUCUUUUACGAGAACACAAAGUAUCCAGUGAAUUUGUGUCCAUAACCCAAACACCAAAGAAUCUUCUAGCUGUGGAGAAAGACCCCAAAACUAUU